Molecule: transfer RNA, 53 nt
Filed under: gamma proteobacterium IMCC1989
Lineage: Bacteria; Pseudomonadati; Pseudomonadota; Gammaproteobacteria; Alteromonadales
Rfam family: tRNA
About the family: Transfer RNA (tRNA) molecules are approximately 80 nucleotides in length.
Source: Rfam by way of RNAcentral
AGCUCGUCGGGCUCAUAACCCGAAGGUCGUUGGUUCAAAUCCAGCCCCCGCUA